UACAGAGGGUGGGAGCGGUAAUCGGAAUUACUGGGCGUAAAGCGUGCGUAGACGGUCAUGUAAGUCGGGUGUGAAAUCCCCGGGCUCAACCUGGGAAUUGCAUUCGAGACUGCGUGGCUAGGGUGCGGAAGAGGGAAGCGGAAUUUCCGGUGUAGCGGUGAAAUGCGUAGAUAUCGGAAGGAACAUCAGUGGCGAAAGCGGCUUCCUGGUCCAGCACCGACUUUCAGGCACGAAAGCGUGGGGAGCAAACAGG
RNAcentral lists this ribosomal RNA (253 nucleotides) under uncultured bacterium. Its description in RNAcentral is "partial 16S ribosomal RNA". It matches the Rfam family "Bacterial small subunit ribosomal RNA", at positions 524 to 776 of the family's 1533-position model. The record is from RNAcentral.